CCCGACCCAGCCUCUUCUCUCACAAUCUCAGUCUCGUCGUCAAAGCAAUGGUGCGAUCAAGAAAUCUUCUUCUCUUUGUUUAUGAUUGAUACUUGUCAGGAACCCGGAAGAUUAAGUUGUAGAUUCCCCAUCGGCAAAACGGCGGCGAAGAUGGUGGUGAAGCAGAUGAGGCGUGACAUUGCUUCUCUGCUUCAGAAAGGUGAAGACGCCACUGCUCGUAUUCAGUUAUGCAUUGAUGCCCCGAGGAUUAGAACAAUUUUCUAAUUCUAGUGAAUGUUUGAUUGCCAAUGUGGACACAUUUGUGUUUGUAAAUUUGGAAGUUUGAGAGAAAGAGCAAGAUGAGUAGAAUAUGAGUGCCAGAAGCGAUCAAUUCAUGUAAACUGUAAUUGGAAUAUGAGUACUUAGUUUAGUGGUGUGAAAGAAUUUACAUGAGGCUCCGGAGUCCUAUCCCUUGUUUAAUGAUAGGUGGUUGAAUAGAGAAAUUGAGGAUCAAAGGGGCCGAGUGCAUGUCCUCUCUCAGUCAUCCUCAUAGUUUGGUCGGCUGUAGCUUGUAAAGUAUAUCAGAGUGUAUUGCUUUCAUGAUCUAACAAGGAAUAUGUGUUUCCCCAACCCUUAUUACUAAAACUACAAACACAAGGUGGAUACUAUCAUGAAAUGUGGCAAUCUGUAUUUUUGGGUUCUGUACAGAUGAAAUGUGAUGAUCUGUAUAUUUGUCA
Long non-coding RNA from Argentina anserina (silverweed cinquefoil), 716 nucleotides. RefSeq lists it as uncharacterized. The transcript is spliced from 3 exons. Lineage: Eukaryota; Viridiplantae; Streptophyta; Magnoliopsida; Rosales; Rosaceae. The record is from RefSeq and is a predicted model, not a curated record.